This 520-nucleotide ribosomal RNA is filed under the name uncultured Archaeospora. RNAcentral's name for it is "SSU rRNA". It matches the Rfam family "Eukaryotic small subunit ribosomal RNA", at positions 569 to 1088 of the family's 1831-position model. Lineage: Eukaryota; Fungi; Glomeromycota; Glomeromycetes; Archaeosporales; Archaeosporaceae. The record is from RNAcentral.
AGCAGCCGCGGUAAUUCCAGCUCCAAUAGCGUAUAUUAAAGUUGUUGCAGUUAAAAAGCUCGUAGUUGAAUUUUGGAUUCUACCAAUUGGUCCAUCUUUUAGAUGAGUACUGGUUGUGUGGGGUCUAUCCGCCUGGUGAUACGUAAUGUCCUUUAUUGGAUGUUGCGGGUAGUCAGGACCUUUACCUUGAAAAAAUUAGAGUGUUUAAAGCAGGCUUAUGCCGGAAUACAUUAGCAUGGAAUAAUAGAAUAGGACGAAGUUGUUUUAUUUUGUUGGUUUCUAGGACAACCGUAAUGAUUAAUAGGGAUAGUUGGGGGCAUUAGUAUUCAAUUGUCAGAGGUGAAAUUCUUGGAUUUAUUGAAGACUAACUACUGCGAAAGCAUUUGCCAAGGAUGUUUUCAUUAAUCAAGAACGAAGUUAGGGGAUCGAAGACGAUCAGAUACCGUCGUAGUCUUAAACCAUAAAACUAUAGCCGACUAGGGGAUCGGGCGAUGUUGUUUCCAUGACUCGCUCGGCACUU